Molecule: transfer RNA, 75 nt
Filed under: Podarcis lilfordi (Lilford's wall lizard)
Lineage: Eukaryota; Metazoa; Chordata; Lepidosauria; Squamata; Lacertidae
Description: tRNA.Gln
Rfam family: tRNA (bases 7-64)
About the family: Transfer RNA (tRNA) molecules are approximately 80 nucleotides in length.
Source: RNAcentral
UUGGGAUAGCUCAGUCCAUAGAGCAUGAGACUCUGAAUCACAGGGUUGUGGGUUCGAGUCCCACACUGGGCAAAA